UUUUGGACAAUGGGCGCAAGCCUGAUCCAGCAAUGCCGCGUGAGUGGAGAAGGCCUUCGGGUUGUAAAGCUCUUUUGCCCCCGAAGAAACGGUGGACUCUAAUACAGAUCACUAAUGACGGUACCUGAAGAAUAAGCACCGGCUAACUACGUGCCAGCAGCCGCGGUAAUACGUAGGGUGCAAGCGUUAAUCGGAAUUAUUGGGCGUAAAGCGUGCGCAGGCGGUUUGGUAAGACAGAUGUGAAAUCCCUGGGCUCAACCUAGGAAUUGCAUUUGUGACUGCCCGACUAGAGUGUGUCAGAGGGGGGUAGAAUUCCACGUGUAGCAGUGAAAUGCGUAGAGAUGUGGAGGAAUACCGAUGGCGAAGGCAGCCCCCUGGGAUAACACUGACGCUCAUGCACGAAA
RNAcentral lists this ribosomal RNA (404 nucleotides) under uncultured bacterium. RNAcentral's name for it is "bacterial SSU rRNA". It matches the Rfam family "Bacterial small subunit ribosomal RNA", at positions 362 to 758 of the family's 1533-position model. The record is from RNAcentral.